Molecule: RNA transcript, 637 nt
Organism: Juglans microcarpa x Juglans regia
Lineage: Eukaryota; Viridiplantae; Streptophyta; Magnoliopsida; Fagales; Juglandaceae
Gene name: DET1- and DDB1-associated protein 1
Exons: 5
Source: RefSeq, a predicted model, not a curated record
GACCUUCUCCUUGGUCGGUUGGUCCUAGUAUCGUAUGCGGGUAUUGGGUUCUUUUUUUCCCCUCUAUGAGAGGCUGGUUCUUGAAUCGGGCAUUGUGCUUGUGUUCUCUCUUCCCCUCGUAAUCUCUCUAGAUUUGGUUGCGGAAAUCAGCAUUUGAUGGGGUCUCUGCUCGGCGACUGGCCGUCAUUUGACCCUCACAACUUCAGCCAACUUCGACCGGCCGAUCCUUCCAUUCCUUCAAGAAUGACGCCUGCAACUUAUCAUCCUACUCACAGCCGCACCCUUCCGCCACCUGAUCAAGUGAUAACUACUGAAGCCAAAAAUAUCCUUUUGAGACACAUCUAUCAGCGUGCUGAAGAGAAGGAUUUGAGACCGAAGAGAGCUGCAACCGAACAUCUUAUACCCGAGCAUGGAUGCAAGCAACCGAGGGCAUCUUCCUACUGAGCUCUUCUUUCCAAAGGAAUGAAGGGCAUUUGCAUGUUCACUGUUGUAGGCUGCUUAGCUAGAAGGGAUGUCUUGCUGCAUUGUGUGGUUGAUGCGAUUUUGGGUGCUUUGGGGCUUCCUGAUAUCGGACAAAUAUUCCCAGACAACGAUCCUAAGUGGAAGGGGGCGCCAUCCUCAGUUUUCAUCAAGGAAG